Paramisgurnus dabryanus is the source of this 1226-nucleotide non-coding RNA. The record is from RefSeq and is a predicted model, not a curated record. NCBI's taxonomy places the organism in Eukaryota, Metazoa, Chordata, Actinopteri, Cypriniformes, Cobitidae.
UUAUUUAUUUUUAUUUUAUAUAUGUAUAAUGUCCCCCUUUGUAUUUCUUAUUAUUUAAAAAAAAUAUUAAAAAUAAUUUUAAAAGGACGCAGCUGUGCGUUUGAGAAACGACCGGAAACGACUUAUAUGUCGCGAGGCCAUCACGUGACCACAAUAUUUACCAGAAGACCGUUAUUUGCUCGAGUACCCUCAACUUUUUUGUCGCAAAUAACAUUAUUAAUAACCUGUAAAUAAUAAAUUUUGUACACAUUACGUUCCUCUUCACUUUGUAAUAGUAUGUUUUUUGGUUUAAUAGUCGGCUUUAAGUUAGUUUUCCUGUCAGUUUGAUCGUCAAAAUCUUGAAAGUUAUCUGCAGCCACACAUCCACUGUAUACCAAGUUAUGAUGAACAAUUAUGAAAAUGCAAAAGGAUUGAUAGAUCAGUAAACAAGCAACAAAAAGAUGGGUGCUCAUGGUGGCCUCCAAAUAAAUACAUGGACAGGCUGCUAAAGAGGGUCAGGAUGAUGGAGAUGCAAGAGCCAAAGACAGCACAGACCAAACACCAGGCCAGAAUUCUGCAUGAGUCAGCUGUAAAAAAAAAAAAAAGAAUGAAACAGUACCUGCAUUUAAGUUUCCAGCCUUUUUCACAAAGUUGCCGACAACUGGAAGAAUGUCCCAAAUUGCUGCAAAAAUAAAUUCAAUUGAGUAAUUUUCACUCUAGAGACCCUUGGGUGACCACCAAGGACGAAUGCAAACUCCAGUGAGUGUCUCUAAGGUAGAUCCUAAUGCAGAUGGAUGGAAUGUUGAUCCGCCUAACAUGCAAGCUACAGAGGGCAUCCUUUAUUCAGUCCCUAAUGCAGAUGGUUGGAGUGUUGAUCUACCUAACAUGAGGGGUAAAAGAGUGUUUGUUAGCAUAAUGAGAAAGAAAACAGAAACACAUUAUUAGUGGCAUUUAAAAACAUAACACUUGUUUAUACUACAUUUUAUGUUCAAUCCAUAGAGCACUCGUUUUGAGUCCUGAGACCCUGGGGUGACCACCGUGAACAAAUACAGAAGCACUCAAUUUGAGUCCUGAGACCCUGGGGUGACCACCGUGAACAAAUACAGACUGCAAUAGCAGUCUUGACGGUACUAGGAUGAAUGCAAAUAAAGACUAACCACCUGACAUCAGCUGUCCAGUCUCUUGUGGGAAGCAGGUGCUUGUUACCCCAAAUACGGAUGAAGAGUGACGAAGAGGAUGAUGACUUU